This is a long non-coding RNA of Carassius auratus (goldfish), 1398 nucleotides long. RefSeq lists it as uncharacterized. The transcript is spliced from 4 exons. The record is from RefSeq and is a predicted model, not a curated record. Lineage: Eukaryota; Metazoa; Chordata; Actinopteri; Cypriniformes; Cyprinidae.
GAAAGUGUUGCCCGGACCAACAUGGCGGCUGCGUCAUUAGUGGAGGUGACGUAAUUCUACGGAAAGUGUGGCCCGGUCCAACAUGGCGGCGGCGUCGCUAGUGGAGGUGACGUAUUUCCGCUCUUGAGUGGAGCUCCACUCGCCCAUAUGUCUGCAGCCAGACCCUCUUGUUUGUUAUGGACAGAAGACUAUUUACAUCAUUAAAUUAAAGUUUACGGAAACCUUGUUUUCCCUCCUCUGCGGCUGUCAAUCAUUCAGUAUUCAAAUAGCGCGCACCUCGUCCAUUUACAGCAGGAUGUAUGAAGGAAAACUUAUUCUGGAACAACAGUCUGUGCUGUGAGAUGAGAACAGAGACACACUGAGCUUUAACCACUAACCAUCGACCAACUGCUGACUGAUGAGGAAACAUCAUUAGCUCCUGAGAGACAAAGACAAACUGAACCACAGUGAUCUGAACUGAAGACAGCGACUGUAACACAUUUCAGUUUCAUUCUGCAACAUGAACGGUGAAAAUCAGACCUUGUUAGAUAUCAUAAGGAUUAUCUUCUUCAUCACUAGUGUUUGUGUGGGUCUUCCAGCUCUGGUUUGGGCUUUUCGUCUUCUGUGGCUUCACAGAAAGAUCAGAGACCGAAUCUCAGUCUUCAUCCUCCUCCUCCUCUUCAAUGACCUGAUACAAUUGCCCCUUAAUCUAUAUUUACUGAGAGAUAUACUGACAGAUUUCAGAUACUUUAUCCCUGAGCUUGUUCUGUUUUGGUUGGGAUUACAUUGGUUUGGUUUUCAUCUGCAUCAGCUGGUGGCUCUGGAGGGGAUCUUGACUCUGAAAUAUCCACUUUGGUCUGCUCGUAUUUUCUCACUGCCCUGUUACAUCACAAUCUCCAUCCUUGUGCUUUUUUUUUCUAUAGUGAGUGCAUUAUUUCUUUUCUCGUAUCCGGAAUUUCAAAUUACAAACAUGUCAUUAUUCAGUCUCAGCACAAGUGUUGUUCCUCUGAUCGUAUUGUCUGUAUCAUCUACAAUCAGCUGUAAAGCCUCUUCCACUCCUGUCAGAAAAAACUGUUCAGUGCUCACUGUUGCUAUUCUUACAUAUGUUUUGAUGUACUUACCUUUCAUGUUCAUCAUCUGUGUGAAUUUCUUUCAUUUACACUCAUAUGUCAGCUCAUCUUGUUGGGUAAUGUUUUUCUGUUUGAUUAAUUCGAGAGUGUUUUCAGACUCUAUUCUGUGUGGUUUGGUCUGCAGAGAAAAUCUCAGAGAUGUUCAGACGCCACAAACACACACAGAACCCAACGCUGAUGAGACGUCAGUCUGAACUUGAGUUUCAUUAGUCCUCACGUCUGAAUCUGGCUUCAAAACAUACACCCAUCAGUAUAAUGAAAAAUUAUUAAUAAAAUAAAUAAUAUAUGA